Molecule: unclassified non-coding RNA, 290 nt
Filed under: Hevea brasiliensis (rubber tree)
Lineage: Eukaryota; Viridiplantae; Streptophyta; Magnoliopsida; Malpighiales; Euphorbiaceae
Source: RNAcentral
GCAUUUCAUCUGAUUUUAUCCACCUAGGCAUCCAGUUGAACUCUUCCUUGCCGUUCAACAUUACCGGCGACAACACCGUAAUGCUGUUUAAUUGUUCCGAGUCGAUACGUGAUCACCCGUUGAAUUGUUCGACGAGCAGCUUGUGCUACUUGUACGUUAAGGGAGAAGAGUACUCUCAGUGCAGGGAUUCAACGUUGUGUUGUACAUUCAAAGCAGGCGGGUCAGCGUCGGCGUAUAGGAUACGGGUCCGAGAAAAAGGGUGUAGAGCUUAUAGAAGUUUCAUUGGUUUG